RNAcentral lists this long non-coding RNA (329 nucleotides) under Oryza brachyantha (malo sina). Its description in RNAcentral is "long non-coding RNA (OBRA_LNC002416)". The record is from RNAcentral. Lineage: Eukaryota; Viridiplantae; Streptophyta; Magnoliopsida; Poales; Poaceae.
GGCGCUAUUAAAUGGGUUCAUUUCCUGUGGUAAAAGCAUAAGUCAAAAUCCAAGCUAGUUUCAGUGAUAUAACAAAUGUUAUUGGAUUGGAGGGCACCAGGAAACAAUUUAGCACCCGCCGGAUCAUUUCUCUCAGCAUGGGAUUUAUAUUGUCGCCUUUCUCAUAUGUUGCUCCUGACCUCUCAGAUAAUGCGUUGGGUUGUCUCGUACCCACGGACGAAGUUAGAAUAAAAUACAGGAGGUAUCACUCAUUUGCUUCUUGUGCUUAAGAUUAAGUUCGGGUUGCUACGGGUGUUUAAGUAUACGACAAAAAUAGAUGAACUUUAAAU